This 30-nucleotide non-coding RNA is filed under the name Rattus norvegicus (Norway rat). The record is from RNAcentral. Lineage: Eukaryota; Metazoa; Chordata; Mammalia; Rodentia; Muridae.
UGAAAAGGAGGUGUCAGAAACUGGGCUAUG